AAAGGGAUAGCUCUGCUGGUAGCUUUCAAAGGCGUCAGCCUUUGGAAGACGCAGAUUCAUAAUCAUGAGGUCCCCGGUUCAAUCCCGGGUCCCGCUA
This 97-nucleotide transfer RNA is filed under the name Bacteroides thetaiotaomicron. RNAcentral's name for it is "tRNA-Met". The record is from RNAcentral. Lineage: Bacteria; Pseudomonadati; Bacteroidota; Bacteroidia; Bacteroidales; Bacteroidaceae. RNAcentral also lists the same sequence under 3 other names.